CAGAUUCAAGUUUAGAGGGCGUCCCUCGAUCUUCCUCUCCGGUUCUCUUUGAUGGAUCCGACAGUCCGGCAGCGAGCGGGUCUUUGCUCCUCCGGUUGAUUCCGUGAAUCGAAACUAGUCAAGGGCUUUCAGGUUGUAACACAAGUUGAGGAUGAAUCAAGUGAAUAUAUAUCAUUAGAAUGAUUCAAGCUGCCUCUUGAUGGAAAACUUCUUGAUGGUGAAGUUAAGCUAUUAAAGAAAGUUCGCAGUGGGGU
Long non-coding RNA from Nymphaea colorata (pocket water lily), 254 nucleotides. RefSeq lists it as uncharacterized. The record is from RefSeq and is a predicted model, not a curated record. The transcript is spliced from 4 exons. NCBI's taxonomy places the organism in Eukaryota, Viridiplantae, Streptophyta, Magnoliopsida, Nymphaeales, Nymphaeaceae.